This 484-nucleotide ribosomal RNA is filed under the name uncultured bacterium. RNAcentral's name for it is "partial 16S ribosomal RNA". It matches the Rfam family "Bacterial small subunit ribosomal RNA", at positions 30 to 507 of the family's 1533-position model. The record is from RNAcentral.
AUUGAACGCUGGCGGCAGGCCUAACACAUGCAAGUCGAGCGGAUGAAGGGAGCUUGCUCCUGGAUUCAGCGGCGGACGGGUGAGUAAUGCCUAGGAAUCUGCCUGGUAGUGGGGGAUAACGUCCGGAAACGGGCGCUAAUACCGCAUACGUCCUGAGGGAGAAAGUGGGGGAUCUUCGGACCUCACGCUAUCAGAUGAGCCUAGGUCGGAUUAGCUAGUUGGUGGGGUAAAGGCCCACCAAGGCGACGAUCCGUAACUGGUCUGAGAGGGUGAUCAGUCACACUGGAACUGAGACACGGUCCAGACUCCUACGGGAGGCAGCAGUGGGGAAGAUUGGACGAUGGGCGAAAUCCUGAUCCAGCCAUGCCGCGUGUGUGAAGAAAGUCUUCGGAUUGUAAAACACUUUAAGUUGGGAGGAAGGGCAGUAAGUUAAUACCUUGCUGUUUUGACGUUACCAACAGAAUAAGCACCGGCUAACUUCGUG